CUAUUGCUUAAAGAUCUUAUGAAGGAUAAGAUUGAUGGUGCAUGCAUUCAGGAAACCCACUUCAAAAAAGGGUACACCCCCAAGAUCUUGAAUAAACACUUUCCCACGCAAUGCCAUGCUUUGUCAGAUAGUAAAACCAAAGGUGUGUCCAUAUUUAUACACAAGAUGUCGCUUUCACAAUGUAGAGGCACUAUUUCGACCCAUGAAGUAGAGUCAGAAU
Non-coding RNA from Pelobates cultripes (western spadefoot toad), 220 nucleotides. NCBI's taxonomy places the organism in Eukaryota, Metazoa, Chordata, Amphibia, Anura, Pelobatidae. The record is from the annotation of a GenBank genome assembly.